UGAACGCUGGCGGCGUGCCUAAUACAUGCAAGUCGAGCGAACAGAUAAGGAGCUUGCUCCUUUGACGUUAGCGGCGGACGGGUGAGUAACACGUGGGUAACCUACCUAUAAGACUGGAAUAACUCCGGGAAACCGGGGCUAAUGCCGGAUAACAUUUAGAACCGCAUGGUUCUAAAGUGAAAGAUGGUUUUGCUAUCACUUAUAGAUGGACCCGCGCCGUAUUAGCUAGUUGGUAAGGUAACGGCUUACCAAGGCAACGAUACGUAGCCGACCUGAGAGGGUGAUCGGCCACACUGGAACUGAGACACGGUCCAGACUCCUACGGGAGGCAGCAGUAGGGAAUCUUCCGCAAUGGGCGAAAGCCUGACGGAGCAACGCCGCGUGAGUGAUGAAGGUCUUCGGAUCGUAAAACUCUGUUAUUAGGGAAGAACAAAUGUGUAAGUAACUAUGCACGUCUUGACGGUACCUAAUCAGAAAGCCACGGCUAACUACGUG
Molecule: ribosomal RNA, 495 nt
Filed under: uncultured bacterium
Lineage: Bacteria
Description: partial 16S ribosomal RNA
Rfam family: Bacterial small subunit ribosomal RNA
Source: RNAcentral